Mesoplodon densirostris (Blainville's beaked whale) is the source of this 5096-nucleotide RNA transcript. It is a transcript of the gene named pre-mRNA processing factor 4B, with no coding region annotated. Lineage: Eukaryota; Metazoa; Chordata; Mammalia; Artiodactyla; Ziphiidae. The transcript is spliced from 18 exons. The record is from RefSeq and is a predicted model, not a curated record.
AUUCUGAGGUGCACGGUUCCCGACGCUGUCGGCACAUGCGCGACGGCCCUGCUCCCUCUUCCUCCUUCUCCAGUGGCUUCCACCGUCCGGGCAGCCACCGCCACCGCCGCCCAGGAGUUAGGAAGUUCAAGAUGGCCGCCGCGGAGGCUCAGUCGCUGCGGGAACAGCCAGAGAUGGAAGAUGCUGAUAAUUCUGAAAAGAGUGUAAAUGAAGAAAAUGGAGAAGUAUCAGAAGACCAAUCUCAAAAUAAGCACAGUCGUCACAAAAAAAAGAAGCAUAAACACAGAAGUAAACAUAAGAAACAUAAACAUUCUUCAGAAGAAGACAAGGAUAAAAAACAUAAACAUAAGCAUAAACAUAAGAAACACAAAAGAAAAGAGGUUAUUGAUGCUUCUGACAAAGAAGGUAUGUCUCCAGCAAAAAGAACUAAACUUGAUGAUUUAGCUUUGCUGGAAGACUUGGAGAAACAGAGGGCCUUGAUUAAAGCUGAACUCGAUAAUGAGUUAAUGGAAGGAAAGGUCCAGUCUGGGAUGGGGCUCAUAUUACAAGGUUAUGAGUCUGGCUCUGAAGAGGAGGGGGAGAUUCAUGAAAAGGCACGAAAUGGAAAUAGGUCUAGUACUCGAUCUUCAAGUACGAAGGGGAAACUUGAACUUAUGGACAAUAAAAAUAGUACAAAAAAACGAAGUAAAAGCAGAUCCAAAGAACGGACUAGACAUAGGUCUGAUAAAAAGAAAAGUAAGGGAGGUGUUGAAAUAGUUAAAGAGAAGGUAACAAGGAGCAAGUCAAAGGAGAGGAAAAAGUCCAAAAGUCCCUCUAAAAGAAGUAAGUCUCAAGAUCAGGCAAGAAGGUCAAAGUCUCCUACCCUUAGAAGGCGCUCUCAAGAGAAAAUGGGGAAGGCCAGAUCUCCUGCUGAUGACAAGGUUAAAAUUGAAGAUAAAAGUAAGUCAAAAGAUAGGAAAAAAUCCCCAAUUAUAAAUGAAAGUAGAAGUCGUGAUCGAGGCAAAAAAUCUAGAUCCCCAAUUGACUUGAGAGGUAAAUCCAAAGACAGAAGGUCACGGUCCAAAGAGAGAAAAUCGAAACGGUCUGAAACUGAUAAAGAGAAGAAGCCAAUUAAAUCUCCCUCUAAAGAUGCUUCCUCUGGGAAAGAAAAUAGGUCACCCAGUAGAAGACCUGGUCGUAGUCCCAAAAGAAGAAGUUUGUCUCCGAAACAACGUGAUAAGUCAAGAAGAAGUCGAUCUCCACUCUUAAAUGAUAGAAGGUCUAAGCAAAGCAAGUCACCUUCUCGAACUCUGUCUCCUGGUAGGAGAGCCAAGAGCCGAUCCUUGGAAAGAAAACGCAGAGAGCCUGAACGGAGACGCCUUUCUUCGCCAAGAACACGACCUCGAGAUGACAUCCUCAGUAGGCGUGAAAGGUCAAAAGAUGCCAGCCCAAUCAGUAGGUGGUCUCCAGCCCGAAGAAGAGCCAGUAGAUCUCCUGUUAGGAGGAGGUCCCGCUCCCCCCUCAGACGGAGCCGAUCUCCCAGAAGAAGAAGCCGGUCUCCUCGGAGAAGGGACAGAGGUCGAAGGAGCAGAUCACGCCUGAGGAGGCGGUCUCGGUCCCGGGGUGGUCGUAGACGUAGGAGCCGAAGCAAAGUAAAGGAAGAUAAAUUUAAGGGAAGUCUGUCUGAAGGAAUGAAAGUGGAGCAGGAAUCUUCAUCUGAUGACAACCUUGAAGACUUUGAUGUUGAGGAGGAAGAUGAAGAAGCCUUGAUAGAACAGAGAAGAAUACAAAGGCAGGCCAUUGUUCAGAAAUACAAAUACCUUGCUGAGGACAGCAACAUGUCCGUGCCGUCUGAGCCCAGCAGCCCCCAGAGCAGCACUCGCACCCGCUCUCCCUCUCCUGAGGACAUUCUGGAAAGGGUAGCUGCCGACGUCAAGGAGUACGAACGGGAGAACGUUGAUACGUUUGAGGCCUCGGUCAAAGCCAAGCAUAAUCUCAUGACGGUCGAACAGAAUAAUGGUUCAUCUCAGAAGAAGCUGUUGGCACCCGAUAUGUUUACAGAAUCUGAUGAUAUGUUUGCUGCGUAUUUUGACAGUGCGCGUCUGCGGGCUGCUGGCAUUGGAAAAGAUUUCAAAGAGAAUCCCAACCUCAGGGAUAACUGGACUGAUGCAGAAGGCUAUUAUCGUGUGAACAUAGGUGAAGUCCUGGAUAAGCGUUAUAACGUGUAUGGCUACACGGGUCAAGGCGUGUUCAGUAACGUGGUCCGAGCCAGGGAUAAUGCGAGGGCCAACCAGGAGGUGGCCGUGAAGAUCAUCAGGAACAACGAGCUCAUGCAAAAAACUGGUUUAAAAGAAUUAGAAUUCUUAAAAAAACUGAACGAUGCUGAUCCUGAUGACAAAUUUCAUUGUUUGCGACUCUUCAGACACUUUUAUCACAAACAGCAUCUCUGCCUCGUGUUUGAGCCUCUGAGUAUGAAUUUACGAGAGGUGCUAAAAAAAUAUGGUAAGGAUGUUGGCCUUCAUAUUAAGGCUGUGCGAUCCUAUAGUCAGCAGUUGUUCUUGGCACUAAAACUCCUUAAAAGAUGCAAUAUCCUCCAUGCAGAUAUCAAGCCAGACAAUAUCUUGGUUAAUGAAUCAAAAACUAUUUUAAAGCUCUGCGACUUCGGGUCGGCUUCACAUGUUGCGGAUAAUGACAUAACGCCUUACCUUGUCAGUAGAUUUUAUCGCGCUCCUGAAAUCAUUAUAGGUAAAAGCUAUGACUAUGGUAUAGAUAUGUGGUCUGUAGGCUGCACCUUGUAUGAACUCUAUACUGGAAAGAUUUUAUUUCCUGGCAAAACCAAUAACCAUAUGUUGAAGCUCGCCAUGGACCUCAAAGGAAAGAUGCCAAAUAAGAUGAUUCGGAAAGGCGUAUUUAAAGACCAACAUUUUGAUCAAAACCUCAACUUCAUGUACAUAGAAGUUGAUAAAGUAACAGAGAGGGAGAAAGUUACUGUCAUGAGCACCAUUAAUCCAACUAAGGACCUGUUGGCUGACUUGAUUGGGUGCCAGCGACUUCCUGAAGACCAACGUAAAAAAGUGCACCAGCUGAAGGACUUGUUGGACCAGAUCCUAAUGUUGGACCCAGCUAAACGGAUUAGCAUCAACCAGGCCCUACAGCAUGCCUUCAUCCAGGAGAAGAUUUAAACGAGAUGAAGAAGCUCCAAGGGUUUGAGUAAUUAAAUACAAAGACUGAAGAAAUUUCACAGCAGUUUAUUAAUGUAUAUAAACUUAUAAAUAUUUCUCCAGCAAAUUUGAGGAAGCAUGAUAUAUUUGAAUUAACACCAAGGGUGAUAUUUCUUUUAGAAAUGUUAGUUAAUCUGUUUUGUGUCUUAUGUGAAAUUUCACUGUAGAAAUGUUUUAAUUGCCAAGACUGCACAGAAUUACAGUGCUAAUGUAAAUGGUUGCAGUUCACAUAAAAGACAAAAGCAUCUGUUAUAAAAUGAGUAGUAAUACUGGGUGGUUGAUUUAUUUUUAGCAAACUUGGCUUCAUUUUGGUCUUCAGAUAAAAUGGCCAGCAUAAAUGCUGUUUAUAUUCACGUUUUCCUAGGUGUGUGUGUGCAGGCCACAGCAGCAUGCCCUGGGUGUAGUCAGUGCCGAAAGGGGCCUGUUCCUUCUUGAGCCUGCCUGCAGGGAUGGUCUCCUCUUUUAAAGCAGGUUGUGUACAACAUUCAGUACACUGAAGGCAUAAACCUUCCACUCUUGAACAAAGCAGCUGCUUUUUAAAAGCGGUAAUUGCUUCUUUACCUUUUAUUUCUUUUGUAAAUGAAGCUUUUCUUUAAGGAUGUGACUUUAAAGUGCUGUCUAUUGCAUAAAACAGUUGACACUCACUUACUGUAAAGUGAAGAUGGUUCUACUGCAUGUGACGUGGACCAUGCAGAUUUCUGUAUGUUCUCAGUAUGCAUCACUAGGUAAUAAAGUCUUUUGUGAACAAGGCAUUUGUAGCCAUUUUUAAAAGUUUUUGUCUUCAGUGUUGGUAAGUCAGGUAAACGAUGCAGAGUUAAAAGCAACCUUGCGUUUCUUCCUUUAAGUCUUUAACUGAAAGAAUUAUUUGUUAAAGAUGUAAACCUAGCCAGAAGUUUAUCAUUUUAUUAAUAAUUAGGAUCCUAAUUAUUUCAUCAAGAAAUUCCACCAGUAUUGUCAGCUUUCAGUGUAGUGAGGUAAUUCCUGUAGGUUGUGGGGUAUAAUUCAGGAUUUAACUAAUGUUUCUGCUAUUUUCUCACUUUUCCUUCUGAUGGUGCGGAAAGAGAAAAAGGAAAACGGGGCACAGGCCACUCACCGCCUUCUCCAAGGGGUCUGAUUUGCUGAGACACCAGCUUCACCUUCUUAACAAGGCACCUAAUUACAACAAGCAUGCACAUUUUGGUGCAUUCAAGAAUGGAAAAUCAGAGUAGCAGCAUUCUUCUGGUGGGUUUUACUCCAUUUAAAGGCAUGAAAUGAACUACAGCCAGGAAGGUGAUAGAUGAUACAAUAGGCCAGCUUUGACUCUGUACCCCCCCAUCUCCUCGUGGUUUAGACAUAAACUGACAUAAAUGCCAGGUGGUGCUCAUCCUCAGGUGGUGACGCCUUGUAAACAAGGCGUCCCAGGUGCAGCUUUCCUACCUGAAUGAAACGGGUAGUGAUUUUCCCACCACUGUUUACUUUGGUGAUAAUAUGCUGCAUAGUCAAGUCUUUCCUAGUUACUUUCACUCAAAAUAUUGAUAGUUAACGUUUGUAUGUUUCUGGUGAUUUUCAUGGCUUCAUUUUAUAUACUUAUUUAAGUAAGUUAACUUCCACUUAGAGACAGUUCAUCUUAUGCCUUCAAAACUGUUACGUGUUCUUUAAAAAACAAAGUUGCUUGUCACUUGUUCUUUGUGUUUUAGGUGCAGCUCAGUGGAAGAUGAUGACACCAGAAGACAUGAGCUAAGGGUAAGGGACUGUUCUUCUGAAGAAUCUUUCCAGUUAGUGACCAAGAUAUGGACGCUCACCUCUGAAAAUACUUGACAUGUAUCCUAACUAUUCCCAGUGUCAUUUGAAUUGUAACUUGCAUUUCAGCAGCAAUGUUCCCAGUUGACUUACUAGGAAAAUGUAAUAAAAUGUGCC